UACGUAGGGUGCGAGCGUUAAUCGGAAUUACUGGGCGUAAAGCGUGCGCAGGCGGUUGGUUAAGUCUGAUGUGAAAGCCCCGGGCUCAACCUGGGAAUGGCAUUGGAAACUGGCUAGCUGGAGUGUGGCAGAGGGGGGUGGAAUUCCGCGUGUAGAGGUGAAAUUCGUAGAUAUUCGGAAGAACACCAGUGGCGAAGGCGGCAUCCUGGACCGAGAUUGACGCUGAGGAGCGAAAGCUAGGGGAGCAAACGGG
Molecule: ribosomal RNA, 253 nt
Filed under: uncultured bacterium
Lineage: Bacteria
Description: partial 16S ribosomal RNA
Rfam family: Bacterial small subunit ribosomal RNA
Source: RNAcentral